Molecule: ribosomal RNA, 1737 nt
Filed under: Salmonella enterica
Lineage: Bacteria; Pseudomonadati; Pseudomonadota; Gammaproteobacteria; Enterobacterales; Enterobacteriaceae
Also listed under: 2 other names
Description: bacterial LSU rRNA
Rfam family: Bacterial large subunit ribosomal RNA
Source: RNAcentral
GUUGGGUAGGGGAGCGUUCUGUAAGCCUGUGAAGGUGUGUCGUGAGGCAUGCUGGAGGUAUCAGAAGUGCGAAUGCUGACAUAAGUAACGAUAAAGCGGGUGAAAAGCCCGCUCGCCGGAAGACCAAGGGUUCCUGUCCAACGUUAAUCGGGGCAGGGUGAGUCGACCCCUAAGGCGAGGCCGAAAGGCGUAGUCGAUGGGAAACGGGUUAAUAUUCCCGUACUUGGUGUUACUGCGAAGGGGGGACGGAGAAGGCUAUGUUGGCCGGGCGACGGUUGUCCCGGUUUAAGCGUGUAGGUGUGUGUUCCAGGUAAAUCCGGUUCACUUUAACACUGAGGCGUGACGACGAGGCACUACGGUGCUGAAGCAACAAAUGCCCUGCUUCCAGGAAAAGCCUCUAAGCAUCAGGUAACAUCAAAUCGUACCCCAAACCGACACAGGUGGUCAGGUAGAGAAUACCAAGGCGCUUGAGAGAACUCGGGUGAAGGAACUAGGCAAAAUGGUGCCGUAACUUCGGGAGAAGGCACGCUGACACGUAGGUGAAGUGAUUUACUCAUGGAGCUGAAGUCAGUCGAAGAUACCAGCUGGCUGCAACUGUUUAUUAAAAACACAGCACUGUGCAAACACGAAAGUGGACGUAUACGGUGUGACGCCUGCCCGGUGCCGGAAGGUUAAUUGAUGGGGUCAGCGCAAGCGAAGCUCCUGAUCGAAGCCCCGGUAAACGGCGGCCGUAACUAUAACGGUCCUAAGGUAGCGAAAUUCCUUGUCGGGUAAGUUCCGACCUGCACGAAUGGCGUAAUGAUGGCCAGGCUGUCUCCACCCGAGACUCAGUGAAAUUGAACUCGCUGUGAAGAUGCAGUGUACCCGCGGCAAGACGGAAAGACCCCGUGAACCUUUACUAUAGCUUGACACUGAACAUUGAGCCUUGAUGUGUAGGAUAGGUGGGAGGCUUUGAAGUGUGGACGCCAGUCUGCAUGGAGCCGACCUUGAAAUACCACCCUUUAAUGUUUGAUGUUCUAACGUGGACCCGUAAUCCGGGUUGCGGACAGUGUCUGGUGGGUAGUUUGACUGGGGCGGUCUCCUCCUAAAGAGUAACGGAGGAGCACGAAGGUUGGCUAAUCCUGGUCGGACAUCAGGAGGUUAGUGCAAUGGCAUAAGCCAGCUUGACUGCGAGCGUGACGGCGCGAGCAGGUGCGAAAGCAGGUCAUAGUGAUCCGGUGGUUCUGAAUGGAAGGGCCAUCGCUCAACGGAUAAAAGGUACUCCGGGGAUAACAGGCUGAUACCGCCCAAGAGUUCAUAUCGACGGCGGUGUUUGGCACCUCGAUGUCGGCUCAUCACAUCCUGGGGCUGAAGUAGGUCCCAAGGGUAUGGCUGUUCGCCAUUUAAAGUGGUACGCGAGCUGGGUUUAGAACGUCGUGAGACAGUUCGGUCCCUAUCUGCCGUGGGCGCUGGAGAACUGAGGGGGGCUGCUCCUAGUACGAGAGGACCGGAGUGGACGCAUCACUGGUGUUCGGGUUGUCAUGCCAAUGGCACUGCCCGGUAGCUAAAUGCGGAAGAGAUAAGUGCUGAAAGCAUCUAAGCACGAAACUUGCCCCGAGAUGAGUUCUCCCUGAGACUUAGAGUCUCCUGAAGGAACGUUGAAGACGACGACGUUGAUAGGCCGGGUGUGUAAGCGCAGCGAUGCGUUGAGCUAACCGGUACUAAUGAACCGUGAGGCUUAACCUUACAACGCCGAAG